Molecule: ribosomal RNA, 220 nt
Filed under: Enterobacter sp.
Lineage: Bacteria; Pseudomonadati; Pseudomonadota; Gammaproteobacteria; Enterobacterales; Enterobacteriaceae
Description: partial 16S ribosomal RNA
Rfam family: Bacterial small subunit ribosomal RNA
Source: RNAcentral
GGGGGGGCCUACCAUGCAGUCGAGCGGUACACAGGGAGCUUGCUCCUGGGUGACGAGCGGCGGACGGGUGAGUAAUGUCUGGGAAACUGCCUGAUGGAGGGGGAUAACUACUGGAAACGGUAGCUAAUACCGCAUACCGUCGCAGGACCAAAGAGGGGGACCUUCCGGCCUCUUGCCAUCGAAUGUGCCCAGAUGGGAUUAGCUAGUAGGUGGGGUAAUG